CUUGCUUCUGAUAAUUUUGUGGAACUUGCGGAUCACAUAAAAUUUGAUCAUGGCUACGCACCUCCAGCAGUCCUGCAAUCAUUCUCUCUGAUGAUGACCUGCCGAGUGUGAUGAUUUGUGCUAACUAUCUCAAGUGACCUGCCUACUGCACCAAGGGGAUUCAUCGAAGGAGCAAGGGGAGCAGAGCUGACAAUUCUUCUCCAGGGGAUUCAUCGAAGGAGCAAGGGGAGCAGAGAUUAGGUUAGUAGUCGGACUUAUCUUCAGGUGAAACUCUUAGAAGAAAAGGGGGUUUGAUACUACUAUUAUUAACCUGAGAACGCAUUCCUCAAUAAAGGAAAAACAACCAGCUAACAAUGUCUGCGCAAGAAUUCGUGCACUAGAUGAUUGCUCGUAAUCUUUCGGCGGGAAGGAAGCGAGUUAUAUGUUGCUGUGUUGAGAGCUUGA
Molecule: non-coding RNA, 444 nt
Organism: Aegilops tauschii subsp. strangulata
Lineage: Eukaryota; Viridiplantae; Streptophyta; Magnoliopsida; Poales; Poaceae
Source: RefSeq, a predicted model, not a curated record